UAAGGAAUAUUGGUCAAUGGACGCAAGUCUGAACCAGCCAUGCCGCGUGAAGGAUGAAGGUCCUCUGGAUUGUAAACUUCUUUUAUCUGGGACGAAAACGGGAUUUUUAUCUCAAUUGACGGUACCAGAGGAAUAAGCACCGGCUAACUCCGUGCCAGCAGCCGCGGUAAUACGGAGGGUGCGAGCGUUAUCCGGAUUUACUGGGUUUAAAGGGUGCGUAGGUGGGCUUAUAAGUCAGUGGUGAAAUCUCCGAGCUUAACUUGGAAACUGCCGUUGAUACUAUGGGUCUUGAAUUAUCUGGAGGUAAGCGGAAUAUGUCAUGUAGCGGUGAAAUGCUUAGAUAUGACAUAGAACACCAAUUUCGAAGGCAGCUUACUACAUAUAAAUUGACGCUGAGGCACGAAAGCGUGGGGAUCAAACA
RNAcentral lists this ribosomal RNA (421 nucleotides) under uncultured bacterium. RNAcentral's name for it is "bacterial SSU rRNA". It matches the Rfam family "Bacterial small subunit ribosomal RNA", at positions 355 to 774 of the family's 1533-position model. The record is from RNAcentral.